This is a long non-coding RNA of Gorilla gorilla gorilla (western lowland gorilla), 129 nucleotides long. RefSeq lists it as uncharacterized. The record is from RefSeq and is a predicted model, not a curated record. The transcript has 3 exons. Lineage: Eukaryota; Metazoa; Chordata; Mammalia; Primates; Hominidae.
AUUUGACUGUUAUGUAAAGUCUGUCUCUGAAAACUUCCUGUAGCGAUUCUUGUAGUACAAGUCUGCAGGUAACAAUACUUCUACAAAAAUUGCAUUUGAUGGCUGUAACUCACUGGAGUUCAAUAAAGG